Molecule: RNase P RNA, 392 nt
Filed under: uncultured Agathobacter sp.
Lineage: Bacteria; Bacillati; Bacillota; Clostridia; Lachnospirales; Lachnospiraceae
Description: Bacterial RNase P class A
Rfam family: Bacterial RNase P class A
About the family: Ribonuclease P (RNase P) is a ubiquitous endoribonuclease, found in archaea, bacteria and eukarya as well as chloroplasts and mitochondria. Its best characterised activity is the generation of mature 5'-ends of tRNAs by cleaving the 5'-leader elements of precursor-tRNAs.
Source: RNAcentral
GGACAGGUGAUCGCGGCUGCAAGUGUCGAAAGACCGCAGGUGAGGAAAGUCCGGGCUUCACAGGGCAGGAUGCCGGUUAACGGCCGGUGGAGGAAACUCUAAGGAAAGUGCAACAGAAAGCAAACCGCUAUCUGUAGUACAUCUUUGAUGUACUACCUACGUAGUGGUAGCACAUGAAGGAUGUAUUACAGGUAGUAAGGGUGGAAGGGCAGUGUAAGAGACUACCGCUCCUCUGGUAACAGAGGAGGCAGUGUAAACCCCAUUCGAAGCAAGACCGAAACAAAGCGAUGACGUGGCCCGCCAGCUUUAGGUAGGUCGCUUGAGGCGAUUGGCGACAGUCGUCCUAGAUAGAUGAUCACUCAACGACAUAACCCGGCUUAUCGUCCUGCUUA